This 483-nucleotide long non-coding RNA is filed under the name Malus domestica (apple). Its description in RNAcentral is "long non-coding RNA (MDOM_LNC016017)". The record is from RNAcentral. Lineage: Eukaryota; Viridiplantae; Streptophyta; Magnoliopsida; Rosales; Rosaceae.
UGUUUAUGAAGUCUGGGGUUUUGAUGUUUGUGGAAUUGAUGAUGAAAUUUGGAAUUUGGAUUGGACUUUGAAGUCAAAAUAUCUGUAAUGGUAUUUGUAUGCACUGUCGAGUAAUACUCAACGUGGGAGAGGAGGAAGGAAGAAAAGGAAAUUGAAAAUUGUUUGAGGUUUAGGCCCAGAGAGGCAAGAAAGAAAUAUGGUCUGUUUGGUUUGUCUGUUGUUCCACCACGACGAUCGCUCGAAUGCUUGGACUGGUGACCAUUCGAGUGACGUUGUGUACAUGGUGAGUUGGAUUUUUCUUUUGUUCAGAAGCUCACAAUUGGCAAUGGGAAAGUUUGCACUAGCAUUGUUAUUGGUCUUGCACUGGCACUGACAUUAGAAUCUUGCAAUGGCACUGGCAUUGGAAUUUGGAAUUUUGCACUUGCACCGAUGGAAUUUCGUAUUGAAAUUGACAUCGGAAAUUAGCAUAACAAGCUUGUUUCC